Molecule: ribosomal RNA, 474 nt
Filed under: uncultured organism
Description: partial 16S ribosomal RNA
Rfam family: Bacterial small subunit ribosomal RNA
Source: RNAcentral
CACUCCUACGGGAGGCAGCAGUGGGGAAUUUUGGACAAUGGGCGAAAGCCUGAUCCAGCAAUGCCGCGUGUGUGAAGAAGGCCUUCGGGUUGUAAAGCACUUUUGUCCGGAAAGAAAUCCUUGGCUCUAAUACAGUCGGGGGAUGACGGUACCGGAAGAAUAAGCACCGGCUAACUACGUGCCAGCAGCCGCGGUAAUACGUAGGGUGCGAGCGUUAAUCGGAAUUACUGGGCGUAAAGCGUGCGCAGGCGGUUUGCUAAGACCGAUGUGAAAUCCCCGGGCUCAACCUGGGAACUGCAUUGGUGACUGGCAGGCUAGAGUAUGGCAGAGGGGGGUAGAAUUCCACGUGUAGCAGUGAAAUGCGUAGAGAUGUGGAGGAAUACCGAUGGCGAAGGCAGCCCCCUGGGCCAAUACUGACGCUCAUGCACGAAAGCGUGGGGAGCAAACAGGAUUAGAAACCCGUGUAGUCCCAUG